GAAGGGGGCUAGCGUUACUCGGAAUUACUGGGCGUAAAGGGCGCGUAGGCGGCACCGUCAGUCAGGCGUGAAAUUCCUGGGCUCAACCUGGGGACUGCGCUUGAUACGGCGGAGCUAGAGGAUGGAAGAGGCUCGUGGAAUUCCCAGUGUAGAGGUGAAAUUCGUAGAUAUUGGGAAGAACACCGGUGGCGAAGGCGGCGAGCUGGUCCAUUACUGACGCUGAGGCGCGACAGCGUGGGGAGCAAACAGGAUUAGAUACCCUGGUAGUCCACGCCGUAAACGAUGUGCGCUGGAUGUUGGGUGACCUAGUCACUCAGUGUCGUAGCUAACGCGAUAAGCGCACCCGCCUGGGAGUACGGCCGCAAGGUUG
RNAcentral lists this ribosomal RNA (370 nucleotides) under uncultured organism. Its description in RNAcentral is "partial 16S ribosomal RNA". It matches the Rfam family "Bacterial small subunit ribosomal RNA", at positions 527 to 896 of the family's 1533-position model. The record is from RNAcentral.